Long non-coding RNA from Limulus polyphemus (Atlantic horseshoe crab), 279 nucleotides. RefSeq lists it as uncharacterized. Lineage: Eukaryota; Metazoa; Arthropoda; Merostomata; Xiphosura; Limulidae. The record is from RefSeq and is a predicted model, not a curated record. The transcript has 2 exons.
UUAACUGUACAUUAAGGAAACGCCGAAUAUCAACAAACACGGUAAAGAAUGUCAGAUCAACAACAGGUAAAGUUUUCGAAAGAAUGUCCUGGUAGUAUUAUGCUUAUGCUUGAAAGAUGUUUUUUUUUGCUUUCCGAAGUUCAGUUCUUGUUUACUUUUGCAGGUACAGAAACCAGACGGAGGAGACUCCGGUUCAGAAUACAUAAAAUUGAAAGUAGUUGGUCAGGAUAGUAAUGAAAUUCACUUCAGAGUAAAGAUGACAACACAAAUGGGAAAAUU